AAACCAACAGGGAUUGCCCCAGUAGCGGCGAGUGAAGCGGCAAGAGCUCAGAUUUGAAAUCGUGCUAAUUUUUUUGGCACGAGUUGUAGAGUGUAGGCGGGAGUCUUUGUGGAGCACGGUGUCCAAGUCCCUUGGAACAGGGCGCCUGAGAGGGUGAGAGCCCCGUGGGGUGCCGUGCGAAGCUUUGAGGCCCUGCUGACGAGUCGAGUUGUUUGGGAAUGCAGCUCCAAGUGGGUGGUAAAUUCCAUCUAAGGCUAAAUACUGGCGAGAGACCGAUAGCGAACAAGUACUGUGAAGGAAAGAUGAAAAGCACUUUGAAAAGAGAGUGAAACAGCACGUGAAAUUGUUGAAAGGGAAGGGUAUUGGGCCCGACAUGGGGAGUGCGCACCGCUGUCUCUUGUAGGCGGCGCUCUGGGCGCUCUCUGGGCCAGCAUCGGUUCUUGCUGCGGGAGAAUGGGUGCCGGAAAGUGGCUCUUCGGAGUGUUAUAGCCGGCGCCAGAUACCGCGUG
Molecule: ribosomal RNA, 509 nt
Filed under: Pichia membranifaciens
Lineage: Eukaryota; Fungi; Ascomycota; Pichiomycetes; Pichiales; Pichiaceae
Description: LSU rRNA
Rfam family: Eukaryotic large subunit ribosomal RNA
Source: RNAcentral